RNAcentral lists this ribosomal RNA (253 nucleotides) under uncultured bacterium. RNAcentral describes it as "partial 16S ribosomal RNA". It matches the Rfam family "Bacterial small subunit ribosomal RNA", at positions 524 to 776 of the family's 1533-position model. The record is from RNAcentral.
UACGUAGGGUGCGAGCGUUGUCCGGAAUUAUUGGGCGUAAAGGGCUCGUAGGCGGUCUGUCGCGUCGGGAGUGAAAACUCAGGGCUUAACCCUGAGCCUGCUUCCGAUACGGGCAGACUAGAGGUAUGCAGGGGAGAACGGAAUUCCUGGUGUAGCGGUGGAAUGCGCAGAUAUCGGGAGGAACACCGGUGGCGAAGGCGGCUCUCUGGGCCUGUACUGACGCUGAGGAGCGAAAGCGUGGGGAGCGAACAGG